Molecule: ribosomal RNA, 748 nt
Filed under: uncultured cyanobacterium
Lineage: Bacteria; Bacillati; Cyanobacteriota
Description: bacterial SSU rRNA
Rfam family: Bacterial small subunit ribosomal RNA
Source: RNAcentral
UACCGCGUGAGGGAUGAAGGAUUUUGGUCUGUAAACCUCUUUUCUCAAGAAAGAAGUUCUGACGGUACUUGAGGAAUAAGCAUCGGCUAACUCCGUGCCAGCAGCCGCGGUAAUACGGGGGAUGCAAGCGUUAUCCGGAAUCAUUGGGCGUAAAGCGCCUGUAGGUUGUUUAAUAAGUCUGUUGUUAAAGACUAGGGCUCAACCCUAGAAAAGCAAUGGAAACUGUUAGACUAGAGUAUGGCAGGGGUAGAGGGAAUUUCUAGUGUAGCGGUGAAAUGCGUAGAUAUUAGAAAGAACACCGGUGGCGAAAGCGCUCUACUGGACCAUUACUGACACUCAGAGGCGAAAGCUAGGGUAGCAAAAGGGAUUAGAUACCCCUGUAGUCCUAGCCGUAAACGAUGGAUACUAGAUGUUGUAUGUUAUUUACAGUAUCGUAGCUAACGCGUUAAGUAUCCCGCCUGGGGAGUACGCUCGCAAGGGUGAAACUCAAAGGAAUUGACGGGGGCCCGCACAAGCGGUGGAGCAUGUGGUUUAAUUCGAUGCAACGCGAAGAACCUUACCAGGGCUUGACAUACUACAGAUUCUUUUGAGAGAGAGAAGUGCCUUCGGGAAUGUAGAUACAGGUGGUGCAUGGCUGUCGUCAGCUCGUGUCGUGAGAUGUUGGGUUAAGUCCCGCAACGAGCGCAACCCUUAUUUUUAGUUACCAAUUCGUUGGGUUCUCUAGAAAGACUGCCGGUGACAAACCGGA